AUGGAAGACGUAUACGUCGUCGUCACCAUCGGCCUCGGCUCGCCCAUAAACGUACCCGCCUUCACCGCCGGCGUCGCCAACCUAAUCUCCCCCUAUUCACGCUUCCACUGCAUUCAGGUGACCGAGGGUGGCAACCGGCGGUGGGCACGCGUGAAGGUGAACGUGGACGAGCACAUCGUCGUGCCGGAGCUGGAUCCCGUCGCCGUGGCCGCUAACCCGGACCGGGCCGUGGAGGACUACGUGGCGUCGCUGUCCGUGUACCCGAUGGACCCUUCCCGUCCGCGCUGGGAGUUUCACCUCCUCGACUUCCCGACCUCCGAGCCCGGGGUGGUCUCCACCGUGGCGAUCCGCGCGCACCACUCCCUGGGCGACGGCGUGUCGCUCAUGGUACUCCUCCUGGCGUCCGCGCGGAGCGCUGCCGACCCGACGAGCCUGCCGGUCAUGCCGCAACAGUCCGUGCGUACGGGCGCCAUCUACGCGCGGCAGCCGCGGCAUGCCGGCGCCCUGGCGCGGGUCUGGUCCUGGUUCGUGCUCAUGUGGCACACCAUGGUGGAUCUUUGCUUCUUCUCCGCGACGAUUUUGUUUCUCAGAGACCCGCACACGGUAUUCAAGCCUGCGGCCGACGACGGCGAUGAUGAUGGUGAUGGUGUGUUCCACCACCACAACCGCCGUUUUGUGCAUCGAAGCCUUAGCCUUGACGACGUCAAGUUCGUCAAGAAUGCCAUGAACUGCACUGUAAAUGACGUGCUACUCGGAGUAGCUUCUGCCGCUUUAUCUCGAUAUUACUUUCGCAAGUCUGGUGACAUUAACACCAAGGAAAUAUGUCUUCGAUCAGUCCUUGGUGUCAAUAUAAGGCCAACAACUAGCCUACAAACAUAUGUUAAUAUGAUCAAAUCUGAUAAGAGUAAUGAGGUGGCAUGGGGAAAUCAACUAGGUCAGAUCCUCUUGAAGAUUCAUUUAGCCAUGCACGAUGAUCCACUUGCAUACGUUCGCAAGGCAAAGGAGACCAUGGAUAGGAAAAAGAGCUCACUCGAAGUGGUGUUCACACAUAAGACAAGUGAAUGUUUCCUCAAAAUGUUUGGUCCAAAGGGAGGUGCUUUUAUCUUUGGUCGAAUGUUCACAAAUACAACCUUGUCAUUCUCAAACAUGAUUGGACCAGCUGAACAAAUAGAGCUUUAUGGGCACCCAGUUGUCUUUAUUGCACCUAGUGCCUACGGAGUUUCACAAGCUCUGAUUGUGCACUACCAAAGUUACAAUAGCAUUAUGAAGGUAAUCUUAUCAGUCGAUGAGAAAACAAUUCCAGAUUAUCAUCAACUUCUGGAUGACUUCUCUUUAUCUUUUGAGCAUAUCAUGGAUGCGACUUCGAGACUUUUGGCAUCCAUCAAGAAAGAGUAA
This 1395-nucleotide ribosomal RNA is filed under the name Triticum aestivum (bread wheat). Its description in RNAcentral is "partial small subunit ribosomal RNA". The record is from RNAcentral. Lineage: Eukaryota; Viridiplantae; Streptophyta; Magnoliopsida; Poales; Poaceae.